This 442-nucleotide ribosomal RNA is filed under the name Polybia occidentalis occidentalis. Its description in RNAcentral is "partial large subunit ribosomal RNA". The stretch from base 317 to 442 matches the Rfam family "Bacterial large subunit ribosomal RNA", at positions 2473 to 2599 of the family's 2925-position model. The record is from RNAcentral. Lineage: Eukaryota; Metazoa; Arthropoda; Insecta; Hymenoptera; Vespidae.
AUUUAUUUAAAAGGCUGCGGUAAAUUAACUGUACAAAGGUAGCAAAAUAAAUAGUUUUUUAAUUGGAAACUUGAAUGAAAGAGUUGAUAAAAUAUAAGUUGUUUCAAAUAUUUAAUUUAAAUUAAAAGUUAAAAUGCUUUUAUUUUUUUAUUAGACGAUAAGACCCUAAGAAUUUGAUUAUUUAAUUUAUUUUAAUAAAUUAAUUUUGAUUAAAUAAUUUUAUUGGGAGGAUAAUUGAAUAAAACUUUUAUUUAUUUAAAUAUAUAUAAAUAUUUUAAUGAUUAUUUUUAAGAUUAUAAGAAUAAAUUACCUUAGGGAUAACAGCGUUAUAAUUUUGGAGAGUUCAUAUUGAUAAAAUUGUUUGCGACCUCGAUGUUGAAUUAAAAUAAAGUUUAAAUGAAGAAAUUUAAAUUUUUAGUCUGUUCGACUAUUAAAAUUUUAC